RNAcentral lists this ribosomal RNA (531 nucleotides) under Triticum aestivum (bread wheat). RNAcentral describes it as "partial small subunit ribosomal RNA". The record is from RNAcentral. Lineage: Eukaryota; Viridiplantae; Streptophyta; Magnoliopsida; Poales; Poaceae.
AUGCAAAAACAACAGCAAGAUGGAAGAUGGUCCAGGCCUCCACCGGGAACUCUGAAAAUCAACACAGAUGGUGCCUUCUUGAAGGAGACAAAUACUGGAGGCUGGGGCUUUGUUAUUAGAGAUGAUUGUGGUGAGGUGAUGGCUGCAGGUGCAGGCAAUCUAGAGCGAGUCUCUGAUGCACUUCAUUCCGAGGCGUUGGUGAUGCUUUAUGCCAUAAACACAGCCAUUCAGCUAGGUUGUGAUAAAGUAAUAAUUGAAACUGAUUCCAUACAACUGAAGAAUGCAACAACCACUGAAGACUUCGACUUGUCAGCAUUAGAUGCUAUAUUCAGAGAUAUUAAGGCUCAGUUGUACAUAGGUUUCAAUGAUGUAUGUGUGGUGUCUUGCCCUCGAUCUUGUAACGUAGUGGCGCACAAGCUAGCUACUUACGGAGCUAAGCUAGGAGCUAGCUUAUGUGAAGUUUGGCUUGGGCAGGUCCCAGAUUUUGUAAAUAACGUUGUGGCUGGCGAUGUGUCCAGUUCUGUAAUGUAA